UACGGGGGGAGCAAGCGUUGUUCGGAUUUACUGGGCGUAAAGGGUGCGUAGGUGGUUGUGCAAGUCUGAUGUGAAAUCUCCGGGCUUAACCCGGAAAUGGCAUUGGAAACUGCAUGGCUAGAGGGUUGGAGGGGGGACUGGAAUACUUGGUGUAGCAGUGAAAUGCGUAGAUAUCAAGUGGAACACCAGUGGCGAAGGCGAGUCCCUGGACAACACCUGACACUGAGGCACGAAAGCUAGGGGAGCAAACAGG
This 253-nucleotide ribosomal RNA is filed under the name uncultured bacterium. RNAcentral describes it as "partial 16S ribosomal RNA". It matches the Rfam family "Bacterial small subunit ribosomal RNA", at positions 524 to 776 of the family's 1533-position model. The record is from RNAcentral.